Long non-coding RNA from Armigeres subalbatus, 205 nucleotides. RefSeq lists it as uncharacterized. The record is from RefSeq and is a predicted model, not a curated record. The transcript is spliced from 3 exons. Lineage: Eukaryota; Metazoa; Arthropoda; Insecta; Diptera; Culicidae.
CCCGUGCGAUCCCUGUUAUCCCUGCUAUCCUUGCGUUCCCGCUAGAGGUUGCAAGAGUCGUGAGCUACGAGGAGGGCUACUCAUUGCCAACUGUGAAUGUCUGAAACGAAAUGGUCUUCAACAUGAUUGCCCUCGUUCCGAGUGUCAGGGAAAACCAUGUCGUCUCACCAAACCGGAAGCCACCUGCUGUCCAUCGACGUACGCG